RNAcentral lists this ribosomal RNA (166 nucleotides) under uncultured Afipia sp. RNAcentral describes it as "partial 16S ribosomal RNA". It matches the Rfam family "Bacterial small subunit ribosomal RNA", at positions 337 to 522 of the family's 1533-position model. The record is from RNAcentral. Lineage: Bacteria; Pseudomonadati; Pseudomonadota; Alphaproteobacteria; Hyphomicrobiales; Nitrobacteraceae.
UCCUACGGGAGGCAGCAGUGGGGAAUUUUGGACAAUGGGCGAAAGCCUGAUCCAGCAAUGCCGCGUGUGUGAAGAAGGCCUUGGUUGUAAGCACUUUUGUUCCGGAAAGAUAAUGACGGUACCGCAAGAAUAAGCCCCGGCUAACUUCGUGCCAGCAGCCGCGGUA